RNAcentral lists this long non-coding RNA (641 nucleotides) under Carica papaya (papaya). Its description in RNAcentral is "long non-coding RNA (CPAP_LNC000218)". The record is from RNAcentral. Lineage: Eukaryota; Viridiplantae; Streptophyta; Magnoliopsida; Brassicales; Caricaceae.
GAUGAUGAUCAUAAAAGAAAUUUAUGGAUCUAUUUUAGUUGUAUAUUUUAAUUAUAACAAUAUAUAACUCUUUCAUGAGUUAAUUGUUCUUCUUCCUCAAUUUUCUUUGAUCUUUUAAUUCCCAGAAUAUAUAUUUAUAUGUGUGUUUUCUGGGAAUUAUACACUUAAAUGUGUACUGAAAUUCUCUCUGCAUCCCUGUUUCCUUUUAAAUUUGAUUGUCAGCUUACUUACUAUUUAAGGACUAAUUGUUGGCAGAUAUUGGCUUUAGUUUAUGAUAUGUAUUUAUAAACAUAUAUAUGAUUAAGCUGGUUAUAAUUACAAAGUGUUUUGUUCCCUUUUGAAGUAUUCUUCAUUUACUAUACAUAAUAGCUAUGUGUGUGUGUAUACAUACAUAUAUAUAUAUAUAUGUAUGCGUGCGUAUGUAUUAUACCCUUCUAGCACUUGUUAAUAUUUCAUCGUCUUCUUCUUCCCUCCCUGCAGCCUCGCAGAGUUGCAGUGCUGUUGAUUUGUGACAUACUAACAUAUGUGUGUGUGUGUCUAUAUAUAUAUAUAGCUGUCUUGAUCAUCUUGUUGACCAAACAUUUUCAUUUUGCUUGGGAAAACAAUCAGCAGACAUGGCUUAUACAUAGAUAAUAUAUAUA